This 571-nucleotide long non-coding RNA is filed under the name Equus asinus (donkey). RNAcentral's name for it is "lncRNA (ENSEASG00005024730.1)". The record is from RNAcentral. Lineage: Eukaryota; Metazoa; Chordata; Mammalia; Perissodactyla; Equidae.
AGGCUGGCAUUGGGGAAGGUAGAGAAAAGCCAGUGGACUCAAGAUCUCUGUUGGAGUUAGGACUGGUAGAUUUACUGGUGGUUCGCUACCAGGGCUGUGAGAGGAAAAGGGGGAAUCGAGGAUGACCCUCAGCCUGGCCCUUCUGGGGCAGAAUAAUCUGGUAUAUGAGCACUUGAGGAGGAGUGAGGCAGCCGGGCUUUGCACCUGCAUCGGUUCAUCCUGGACGGCCAACAAGGCAGCUGCCGCUGGAUGAGGGCGGCUCUUUGGUGGUGUGAAUUGCGGUGCUGGAACUGGCCUGGAAGCUCAGCAAUCCAGAGAGAUGGGCAACCUUAUUAUUCCCACUUUACACGGGAAGAAACUGAAGCUUACAGAGGUUGAGUCUCUUGUACAAGGUCUCGCUGAGAGGAGGUGGCCGGGCUGGGAUUUGAACCCAUACCUCUCUGCCUGCAGAGCUUGAAUGCUCAAACCAUUGUGCUGCGGGACGUUUGAAGACUACUUAGAGUAGAGACUCUGCCACAAGAUGACUUAAAAUGCGGCGGAUCCAGUGCACGCUCAAGACCUCUAAUUGUAA